Anthonomus grandis grandis is the source of this 1089-nucleotide long non-coding RNA. RefSeq lists it as uncharacterized. Lineage: Eukaryota; Metazoa; Arthropoda; Insecta; Coleoptera; Curculionidae. The record is from RefSeq and is a predicted model, not a curated record. The transcript is spliced from 3 exons.
GCAAGCGCCGUUAUUUUCGACGUUCGCCGUCGCGUCGCUCUCCGACGAGAGAACCACCACCUGUGAGAGUCGCCUAUGCACGACUUGUUGUUGUUGUUUGGAAAUUGCCUGGUUUUCUUUCGGGAAAUUCGCACGUUUUCCUAAAGAAAUUCGUCGGGUGAGUGACGUACGGGCGUGCAGUGUACGUUGUACUACUAGAGUGUACAGUUUUCAAUUGGAAAUAACACGGGGGUGUGGAGAAAGUGGAAGAAGUAGAAAAAUGGCUAAAAAUUCAGAGAUUUGAGGAAUUCAUUCCAAGGACUUUUUGGAGGCCGUAGAUAAAGUGUCUGUGUUUAAAAAAAAAUGUGCUGUUGAUGAUCAGUCAAUAAAAGACAUUGUGGCCACCACUACUGGUCAGGUUUCAAAUGAAAAAUGGUAUCUGGUGAGAAAAUUUCGUUUGACUGCUAGCAACUUUGGUGCUAUUAUUGCAGCAUGUCGGAGAAACAGAUUCCCAGUGAGUUUGUUCAAGAUGCUCUUGGGUGAAUACAAUUUGGAUGAUAUCAAAGCAAUCCAGUGGGGUAGAACCCAUGAAAAAGAUGCUCUAAACCAUUUAAAGGAGUAUUAUAAUUUAAAUGUUGGUAAUUUAAAAAAACAACUGGAGUAUGGCAUUCAAAUUCAGGGUUUCUUGGUGCCAGCCCUGAUGGAUUAAUUGAUGAAGAAGAAGCUCUUGUGGAAGUAAAAUGCCCAUAUUCUUUUAGAAAUGAUCAGUUGUCCGAAAAAUUGAGGAAUAAUACUAAAUAUAUAAUUUUCUAUGACAAUGAGGGUAAUUUGGUAUUAAAUACAAGCCACGAAUAUUAUCACCAAAUUCAAGGUGCUUUACAUAUUUUAAAAAAGAAAAUAUGUUACUUAUGUAUUUAUACUUUGAAAGAAACAAUUGUGACAAUUGUAGAGAUUGACGAUUCAUGGAAAGAAAACCUUUUACUCUUGGAACAUUUUUAUAUAGAACAAUACUUACCAAAGUUGUUAGAAAAUUAGUAACUUGUGACACGUUGUUAUAAUUUUAUUUGCAUUGUAUGUACUAUAUGUGUAAUUUUUUUUCUGUAGAUGUAA